Molecule: ribosomal RNA, 218 nt
Filed under: uncultured bacterium
Lineage: Bacteria
Description: partial 16S ribosomal RNA
Rfam family: Bacterial small subunit ribosomal RNA
Source: RNAcentral
CGUCUCAGUUCGGAUUGUAGUCUGCAACCCGACUACAUGAAGCUGGAAUCGCUAGUAAUCGCGAAUCAGAAUGUCGCGGUGAAUACGUUCCCGGGUCUUGUACACACCGCCCGUCACACCAUGGGAGUNAGUAACGCCCGAAGCCGGUGACCCAACCGAUAAGGAGGGAGCCGUCGAAGGUGGGACCGAUAACUGGGGUGAAGUCGUAACAAGGUAAC